AAGAAAGGGGACAUUAUCCUUGGAGGACUCUUUCCUAUUCAUUUUGGAGUAGCAGCUAAAGAUCAAGAUCUCAAAUCAAGGCCGGAGUCUGUGGAAUGUAUCAGGUAUAAUUUCCGUGGGUUUCGCUGGUUACAGGCUAUGAUAUUUGCCAUAGAGGAGAUAAACAGCAGCCCAGCCCUUCUUCCCAACUUGACGCUGGGAUACAGGAUAUUUGACACUUGCAACACCGUUUCUAAGGCCUUGGAAGCCACCCUGAGUUUUGUUGCUCAAAACAAAAUUGAUUCUUUGAACCUUGAUGAGUUCUGCAACUGCUCAGAGCACAUUCCCUCUACGAUUGCUGUGGUGGGAGCAACUGGCUCAGGCGUCUCCACGGCAGUGGCAAAUCUGCUGGGGCUCUUCUACAUUCCCCAGGUACUCAAGCCUUCUCAGACGGGGCACUGGGAGCAGGAUCAGAAGAAGCAGGCUUGGGGGUGCCAUGCCCAAUAUCCAUAUGGUUUACCAUAUUCCCAUCUCUGGCACAAAAGACCUAUGAUUUAGUUGAUAUGCUGUAUCAUGACCAUUUGGGAUUUCUGAAACUCCAGUGUCCACAAUGUCAAUGAUACCUUCGCUAUGCUUCCAAAAUUCUUUUAAAUGUACCUUGCAUAAAACUGUCUUUUUUUA
RNAcentral lists this small RNA (660 nucleotides) under Pan troglodytes (chimpanzee). Its description in RNAcentral is "retained intron". Lineage: Eukaryota; Metazoa; Chordata; Mammalia; Primates; Hominidae. The record is from RNAcentral.